RNAcentral lists this ribosomal RNA (467 nucleotides) under Kocuria rosea subsp. polaris. RNAcentral describes it as "bacterial SSU rRNA". It matches the Rfam family "Bacterial small subunit ribosomal RNA", at positions 136 to 615 of the family's 1533-position model. Lineage: Bacteria; Bacillati; Actinomycetota; Actinomycetes; Micrococcales; Micrococcaceae. The record is from RNAcentral.
CUCUGGGAUAAGCCUGGGAAACUGGGUCUAAUACUGGAUACUACCGUCCACCGCAUGGUGGGUGGUGGAAAGGGUUUUACUGGUUUUGGAUGGGCUCACGGCCUAUCAGCUUGUUGGUGGGGUAAUGGCUCACCAAGGCGACGACGGGUAGCCGGCCUGAGAGGGUGACCGGCCACACUGGGACUGAGACACGGCCCAGACUCCUACGGGAGGCAGCAGUGGGGAAUAUUGCACAAUGGGCGGAAGCCUGAUGCAGCGACGCCGCGUGAGGGAUGACGGCCUUCGGGUUGUAAACCUCUUUCAGUAGGGAAGAAGCGAGAGUGACGGUACCUGCAGAAGAAGCGCCGGCUAACUACGUGCCAGCAGCCGCGGUAAUACGUAGGGCGCAAGCGUUGUCCGGAAUUAUUGGGCGUAAAGAGCUCGUAGGCGGUUUGUCGCGUCUGCUGUGAAAGCCCGGGGCUCAACCC